RNAcentral lists this ribosomal RNA (2553 nucleotides) under Triticum aestivum (bread wheat). RNAcentral's name for it is "partial small subunit ribosomal RNA". The record is from RNAcentral. Lineage: Eukaryota; Viridiplantae; Streptophyta; Magnoliopsida; Poales; Poaceae.
AUGGCAACGGUGGCCAGGUCCCCGUCCCCGUCGCCGGCCGCGGCCAGGCCCUGCCCCGCCAUGCGGAGGAGCGCCGACUCCAACCCCUUCAAGCCCGCCGAUUGCCCGUCGCAGAGGAGCUCCACCUCCAAGGGCGGCGGCGGCGUCUGCGGGUGCCACCACUCCUCGCCCUCGCCGCGCCGGAGGUCCCUCUCCUCCUCCUUCGGGGAGAAGGAGAACGAGCCGCGGGACCGCACCCCCAAGCCCGCGGCGCGCUCUGGCGGCCCCAAGAACUUCAUGGCGCCCACCAUCUCCGCCGCGUCCAAGGCCGCCUCGCCCAGGAACAGCACCAGCAAGGUGCUCGGGGAGCGCAACCACGAGACGCCCCACCUCGCGCCCUUCUCCCCCGCCAACCUCGCGCACAAGCCCAAGGGGCCACCGCCCGAGGCGGGAGCCCCGCGCCGCCUGCGCCUCUCCUUCGAGGCCCCUCCCGCGGCCACCGCACCGCACGGCUUGCUCGCCGCGGGGAUGGAGGAUCCCGUGUUAGGCAGCGUGAACCACCACCACGCGGAGGCCAAUUCGGUGGGCGCGGAGCGCAGCCUGCGGCACUCGUUCGAGGCCCCUUCCGCGGCGGCCGCGUGGCACAGCCCGCUCGCUGGAGAUGAUGACGACGCGGGGAUGGAGGAUCCCGUGCGCGUGGGCGUGGGCGUCAACCGCCCGCACGCCGCGGCCGAUCCGGUGGGCGCGGAGCCGUCCCGGGCGGCCCUGUACGACCCCAAGACCAACUACACUUCGCCGCGGCCGCGGUUCCUCCACUACAAGCCCAACCCCCGCGUCGACAUCUACCGGCACGGCGGCGCUGGCGUCAGGCGCCUCGAGGACGGCUUCGCCUCCGCCUCCGCCUCGGAGAGCAGCGACGAAACCGACGCCACUGCCACCACGGAGGACGACCUCACGGAGGAGGAGCAAGGGCAAGCACAGCAAAAUCAUCUGCCGGGGGAACAGCCAGCUCUCGCCGCUCCACCUGAGGCUGCCGAGGCCUGCGUCCUGGCGCCAGAGCCCGCGCCGGGUUCGCCGCCGCCUCCUCUGCUGCUGUCACCGGAGGCUGCUGCGGUGACGCCAGAGCCGGCUCGCGUCCCUGCACCGGAGCCUAGGGCGACUCCUCCGCGAGCCCGUGCACUGACGCCGGAGCCGGAGCAUGGGGCGCGAGCUCCAGCCAAGAAGGGAUCCGCGUUGAGGUUCCUGCUCCCCCUCGCUUUCGUUCUGUUCAUGUCUGCUGCUUCCGUGUGCGUGCUGCUGCAGCCAGAUUCCCCGAUCAUGUCGAGGGCGUCCAGCUUUCUUUCAGUUCAAGAAUCACACCCUGUGGAGUUGGCUGCUUGGCUCAAGCAAUGGCCAAGCAGUUCGUUGGAUUCGAUCACGUCUUACUGGGAGGCCUUGGCUUCCACAUCCACACAAGAGCAAGAGUACUUUGGUCCGCAUUUCGCAGCCAACUGGAGUGCUGCAGCUGCCGAUGGUGACCAUGGUGCUGCUGCUGAUUUCUACUACAACUUCGCCGAGGCAUGGCCAGUGACGAGUGAAGAGCCUAUUAGCAGCGCCAAUGCCUUGCCUGCAGAGCCGGAAGAAGAAUCAGUUGAUGAUGCUGGAGUGGGAGAAGAAUCUGAUGCAUCAGACUACUACGACAUGGUAGUAGAUGAGCUUGAUGUUGAAAUGUCAGAAGAAGCUCCUGGUAGCAGCUAUGGUGCCACUGUCUUGGAGGAGCAGUUGAAGAUCCAGGAUGCAGUUUCUGAAGCAAGCAGUGCUGACUUGAUUGCAGAAUCAGAGGGUGUUGCUGCAGUGGUAGAAGAAGAAUCUGAUGCAUCAGACUACUCCAAGGCAGUAGAUGAGCGGGCAUCAGAAGCAGCUCCAGGUAGCAGCAAUGGCGAAGAGAUCAGUCAGGAUUUGGGCACCCCGUCUGAACCUGCUGAGCUGCGUGAGCAAGAUGUUGAGAGUGAAGAGCCCGAGGACAAUCACGGCAAUGGCAAGGAAGACAAGGAGCCGCAUCUUGGUCUUGAGUCGGAUUCCAGCAUGUCGCCAAGCUACUUGGACAGAAUCUCAAAGCCUGCAGCAGCAGCAGGUGUUGCCAUUGUCGUGGUCAUUCUUUCAGCCAGCAUUGCUGCCCUUUCCAUGAGGAAGAAGCAAGCUCAGGUUGCCACAAGUGCCAAUGCACCAGCUGAGCAAGCCGAGGAAGCUGAGACUCGAUCUGGUUCAGCGAGCAGUGAGGGCCAUCGUCUUGUCAAGUCUCCUCAGGCAGAAGAAACUGAGCGAUUUGGUGACUCUGGUUUCUCUCAGUACAGCAGCAGCUUGUCGUCUGGCCAUGGCCAUGGCAGGGGGAAGACCAAGGAGGAAGAGAACGUCGGCCUCGAGCCCGCGUCCAAGAGGGAGUCCAUGUCAUACUCCACAUCAUCCUAUGGCAGCUUCACGACCUAUGAGAAGAUCGCUGCCAAGAAAAGGAACAAGGAUGAUGAGGCGAUGACCCCGGUCCGGCGCUCCAGCAGGCUGCGGAGUGUCAAAUCACCCGAGGCCGAGUCUAGUUAG